CAAUAGCGUAUAUUAAAGUUGUUGCAGUUAAAAAGCUCGUAGUUGGAUUUGUGGCUGUCACGGGCGGCCUAUCACUUAGUGUUAGUGCUUGCCUGUGUCGCCAUCCUUGGGUGGAGCCCGUGUGGCAUUAGGUUGUCGUGCGGGGGAUGCCCAUCGUUUACUGUGAGAAAAUUAGAGUGUUCAAAGCAGGCUUAUGCCAUUGAAUAUGUUAGCAUGGAAUAAUAAGAUAGGACCUCGGUACUAUUUUGUUGGUUUGCGCACCGAGGUAAUGAUUAAUAGGGACAGUUGGGGGUAUUCGUAUUUCAUUGUCAGAGGUGAAAUUCUUGGAUCUCUGAAAGACGAACUACUGCGAAAGCAUUUACCAAGGAUGUUUUCAUUAA
This 380-nucleotide ribosomal RNA is filed under the name uncultured eukaryote. RNAcentral describes it as "partial 18S ribosomal RNA". It matches the Rfam family "Eukaryotic small subunit ribosomal RNA", at positions 592 to 976 of the family's 1831-position model. The record is from RNAcentral.